Molecule: ribosomal RNA, 309 nt
Filed under: uncultured archaeon
Lineage: Archaea
Description: bacterial SSU rRNA
Rfam family: Archaeal small subunit ribosomal RNA
Source: RNAcentral
CGGCCAUGUAAGUUCUCUGUGAAAUCCGGCCGCUCAACGGUCGGGCGUGCAGGGAAUACUGCGUGGCUUGGGGCCGGAGGGCGUCGAGGCUAUUCCCGGGGUAGGAGUGAAAUCCUAAAAUCCUGGGAGGAGCACCGGUGGCGAAAGCGCUCGGCGACGACGGACCCGACGGUGAGGGACGAAAGCCAGGGGAGCAAAAGGGAUUAGAUACCCCCGUAGUCCUGGCCGUAAACAUUGCCCGCUUGAUGUCGCGCAUCCUCCGAGGACGCGCGGUGCCAAAGCGAAAGCGUUAAGCGGGCCGCCUGGGGA